GGCGGCAGGCCUAACACAUGCAAGUCGAGCGGUAGAGAGAAGCUUGCUUCUCUUGAGAGCGGCGGACGGGUGAGUAAUACCUAGGAAUCUGCCUGAUAGUGGGGGAUAACGUUCGGAAACGGACGCUAAUACCGCAUACGUCCUACGGGGGAAAGCAGGGGACCUUCGGGCCUUGCGCUAUCAGAUGAGCCUAGGUCGGAUUAGCUAGUUGGUGAGGUAAUGGCUCACCAAGGCUACGAUCCGUAACUGGUCUGAGAGGAUGAUCAGUCACACUGGAACUGAGACACGGUCCAGACUCCUACGGGAGGCAGCAGUGGGGAAUAUUGGACAAUGGGCGAAAGCCUGAUCCAGCCAUGCCGCGUGUGUGAAGAAGGUCUUCGGAUUGUAAAGCACUUUAAGUUGGGAGGAAGGGCAGUUACCUAAUACGUGAUUGUCUUGACGUUACCGACAGAAUAAGCACCGGCUAACUCUGUGCCAGCAGCCGCGGUAAUACAGAGGGUGCAAGCGUUAAUCGGAAUUACUGGGCGUAAAGCGCGCGUAGGUGGUUUGUUAAGUUGAAUGUGAAAUCCCCGGGCUCAACCUGGGAACUGCAUCCAAAACUGGCAAGCUAGAGUAUGGUAGAGGGUAGUGGAAUUUCCUGUGUAGCGGUGAAAUGCGUAGAUAUAGGAAGGAACACCAGUGGCGAAGGCGACUACCUGGACUGAUACUCACACUGAGGUGCGAAAG
RNAcentral lists this ribosomal RNA (726 nucleotides) under uncultured bacterium. RNAcentral describes it as "bacterial SSU rRNA". It matches the Rfam family "Bacterial small subunit ribosomal RNA", at positions 38 to 759 of the family's 1533-position model. The record is from RNAcentral.